GGAAGGGAUGUAUUUAUUAGAUAAAAAACCAAUGCCCUUCGGGGCUCCUUGGUGAUUCAUGAUAACUUAACGAAUCGCAUGGCCUUGUGCCGGCGAUGGUUCAUUCAAAUUUCUGCCCUAUCAACUUUCGAUGGUAGGAUAGUGGCCUACCAUGGUUUCAACGGGUAACGGGGAAUUAGGGUUCUAUUCCGGAGAGGGAGCCUGAGAAACGGCUACCACAUCCAAGGAAGGCAGCAGGCGCGCAAAUUACCCAAUCCCGACACGGGGAGGUAGUGACAAUAAAUACUGAUACAGGGCUCUUUUGGGUCUUGUAAUUGGAAUGAGUACAAUUUAAAUCCCUUAACGAGGAACAAUUGGAGGGCAAGUCUGGUGCCAGCAGCCGCGGUAAUUCCAGCUCCAAUAGCGUAUAUUAAAGUUGUUGCAGUUAAAAAGCUCGUAGUUGAACCUUGGGCCUGGUUGGUCGGUCCGCCUCGCGGCGUGCACUGAUCCGACCGGGCCUUUCCUUCUGGGGAACCGCAUGCCCUUCAUUGGGUGUGUUGGGGAACCAGGACUUUUAC
RNAcentral lists this ribosomal RNA (557 nucleotides) under uncultured Ascomycota. RNAcentral describes it as "SSU rRNA". It matches the Rfam family "Eukaryotic small subunit ribosomal RNA", at positions 194 to 755 of the family's 1831-position model. Lineage: Eukaryota; Fungi; Ascomycota. The record is from RNAcentral.